This 634-nucleotide ribosomal RNA is filed under the name Micrococcus sp. MOLA 307. Its description in RNAcentral is "bacterial SSU rRNA". It matches the Rfam family "Bacterial small subunit ribosomal RNA", at positions 218 to 862 of the family's 1533-position model. Lineage: Bacteria; Bacillati; Actinomycetota; Actinomycetes; Micrococcales; Micrococcaceae. The record is from RNAcentral.
GUUUUGGAUGGACUCGCGGCCUAUCAGCUUGUUGGUGAGGUAAUGGCUCACCAAGGCGACGACGGGUAGCCGGCCUGAGAGGGUGACCGGCCACACUGGGACUGAGACACGGCCCAGACUCCUACGGGAGGCAGCAGUGGGGAAUAUUGCACAAUGGGCGCAAGCCUGAUGCAGCGACGCCGCGUGAGGGAUGACGGCCUUCGGGUUGUAAACCUCUUUCAGUAGGGAAGAAGCGAAAGUGACGGUACCUGCAGAAGAAGCACCGGCUAACUACGUGCCAGCAGCCGCGGUAAUACGUAGGGUGCGAGCGUUAUCCGGAAUUAUUGGGCGUAAAGAGCUCGUAGGCGGUUUGUCGCGUCUGUCGUGAAAGUCCGGGGCUUAACCCCGGAUCUGCGGUGGGUACGGGCAGACUAGAGUGCAGUAGGGGAGACUGGAAUUCCUGGUGUAGCGGUGGAAUGCGCAGAUAUCAGGAGGAACACCGAUGGCGAAGGCAGGUCUCUGGGCUGUAACUGACGCUGAGGAGCGAAAGCAUGGGGAGCGAACAGGAUUAGAUACCCUGGUAGUCCAUGCCGUAAACGUUGGGCACUAGGUGUGGGGACCAUUCCACGGUUUCCGCGCCGCAGCUAACGCAUAA